UUGGGACAGGAAAUUUUGCGAUUGCCUC
RNAcentral lists this small RNA (28 nucleotides) under Bombyx mori (domestic silkworm). RNAcentral's name for it is "ovarian small RNA-38027". Lineage: Eukaryota; Metazoa; Arthropoda; Insecta; Lepidoptera; Bombycidae. The record is from RNAcentral.